Molecule: ribosomal RNA, 508 nt
Filed under: Glomus sp. Glo23
Lineage: Eukaryota; Fungi; Glomeromycota; Glomeromycetes; Glomerales; Glomeraceae
Description: SSU rRNA
Rfam family: Eukaryotic small subunit ribosomal RNA
Source: RNAcentral
AGCAGCCGCGGUAAUUCCAGCUCCAAUAGCGUAUAUUAAAGUUGUUGCAGUUAAAAAGCUCGUAGUUGAAUUUCGGGGUUAGUAGGUUGGUCAUGCCUCUGGUAUGUACUGGUCUCACUGAUUCCUCCUUCCUGAUGAACCUUAAUGCCAUUUAUUUGGUGUUUUGGGGAAUUUGGACUGUUACUUUGAAAAAAUUAGAGUGUUUAAAGCAAGCUAACGCUUGAAUACAUUAGCAUGGAAUAAUGAAAUAGGACGUUCGGUCCUAUUUUGUUGGUUUCUAGGAUUGACGUAAUGAUUAAUAGGGAUAGUUGGGGGCAUUAGUAUUCAAUUGUCAGAGGUGAAAUUCUUGGAUUUAUUGAAGACUAACUACUGCGAAAGCAUUUGCCAAGGAUGUUUUCAUUAAUCAAGAACGAAAGUUAGGGGAUCGAAGACGAUCAGAUACCGUCGUAGUCUUAACCAUAAACUAUGCCGACUAGGGAUCGGAUGAUGUUAAUUUUUUAAUGACUCA